AAUCCAUAGGUUAAUGAGGCGAACCGGGGGAACUGAAACAUCUAAGUACCCCGAGGAAAAGAAAUCAACCGAGAUUCCCCCAGUAGCGGCGAGCGAACGGGGAGGAGCCCAGAGCCUGAAUCAGCAUGUGUGUUAGUGGAAGCGUCUGGAAAGGCGCGCGAUACAGGGUGACAGCCCCGUACACAAAAGCGCAUGUGCUGUGAGCUCGAUGAGUAGGGCGGGACACGUGGUAUCCUGUCUGAAUAUGGGGGGACCAUCCUCCAAGGCUAAAUACUCCUGACUGACCGAUAGUGAACCAGUACCGUGAGGGAAAGGCGAAAAGAACCCCGGCGAGGGGAGUGAAAAAGAACCUGAAACCGUGUACGUACAAGCAGUGGGAGCACCCUUUGGGUGUGACUGCGUACCUUUUGUAUAAUGGGUCAGCGACUUAUAUUCUGUAGCAAGGUUAACCGAAUAGGGGAGCCGGAGGGAAACCGAGUCUUAAUUGGGCGUUAAGUUGCAGGGUAUAGACCCGAAACCCGGUGAUCUAGCCAUGGGCAGGUUGAAGGUUGGGUAACACUAACUGGAGGACCGAACCGACUAAUGUUGAAAAAUUAGCGGAUGACCUGUGGCUGGGGGUGAAAGGCCAAUCAAACCGGGAGAUAGCUGGUUCUCCCCGAAAGCUAUUUAGGUAGCGCCUCGUGAAUUCAUCUCCGGGGGUAGAGCACUGUUUCGGCUAGGGGGCCAUCCCGGCUUACCAACCCGAUGCAAACUGCGAAUACCGGAGAAUGUUAUCACGGGAGACACACGGCGGGUGCUAACGUCCGUCGUGAAGAGGGAAACAACCCAGACCGCCAGCUAAGGUCCCAAAGUCAUGGUUAAGUGGGAAACGAUGUGGGAAGGCCCAGACAGCCAGGAUGUUGGCUUAGAAGCAGCCAUCAUUUAAAGAAAGCGUAAUAGCUCACUGGUCGAGUCGGCCUGCGCGGAAGAUGUAACGGGGCUAAACCAUGCACCGAAGCUGCGGCAGCGACACUGUGUGUUGUUGGGUAGGGGAGCGUUCUGUAAGCCUGCGAAGGUGGCCUGUGAGGGUUGCUGGAG
Molecule: ribosomal RNA, 1077 nt
Filed under: Salmonella enterica subsp. enterica serovar Enteritidis
Lineage: Bacteria; Pseudomonadati; Pseudomonadota; Gammaproteobacteria; Enterobacterales; Enterobacteriaceae
Description: partial 23S ribosomal RNA
Rfam family: Bacterial large subunit ribosomal RNA
Source: RNAcentral